GCAAGCUAAGAAAAACUCAGAAUCAAUUAUAGCGUUUCCACAUCCCUACUCAUUUAUGGAACAUAUUUCCAUUUCCUCCGCAAUUUCUGACCCCAUGUUCAGGGUGCGUCCUAGGGGAAUAUCUCCACAAUAACAGAAUGCACAUAUUAAUAAUAUAUGAUGGUCUUAGUAAACUGGCCAGAGCAUAUCAGCUAGCUAACACUUUUGCAAACUGUGGCAUCAGGCCUUUUUGCAUCUUUUUACCCAUUUGCAAGCUGGUCUUUUCUUUUUGCUGCAUACAGUGGACAAUCACCAUAUCCUUUUUUAAUUCUAUGGAGGAAAGAAUUGACAUCUCAGUCGUUAUUAGUGAAAUGGAUCGAACUUAGCA
This 367-nucleotide unclassified non-coding RNA is filed under the name Hevea brasiliensis (rubber tree). Lineage: Eukaryota; Viridiplantae; Streptophyta; Magnoliopsida; Malpighiales; Euphorbiaceae. The record is from RNAcentral.